This 93-nucleotide non-coding RNA is filed under the name Salinivibrio sp. KP-1. RNAcentral's name for it is "Translational regulator of tfoXVC". It matches the Rfam family "Translational regulator of tfoXVC". Lineage: Bacteria; Pseudomonadati; Pseudomonadota; Gammaproteobacteria; Vibrionales; Vibrionaceae. The record is from Rfam by way of RNAcentral.
UUUUACCAGGGCGGGCUCCCCGCCCUCGGCAGCAAGCGAAGGUGUCGUUGACACCCGUGGCAUGGCUCCCCGGCUAUGCCACGUUUUCUUUUA